AGCAGCCGCGGUAAUUCCAGCUCCAAUAGCGUAUAUUAAAGUUGUUGCAGUUAAAAGCUCGUAGUUGAAUUUCGGGAUCAAUAUGUUGGUCGUGCCUCGGUACGUACUAGCAUAUUGGUUUCUCCUUUCUGAAGAACCAUGAUGUCAUUUAUUUGGUGUCGUGGGGAAUCAGGACUGUUACUUUGAAAAAUUAGAGUGUUUAAAGCAGGCUCACGCUUGAAUACAUUAGCAUGGAAUAAUGAAAUAGGACGUUUGAUUCUAUUUUGUUGGUUUCUAGGAUCGACGUAAUGAUUAAUAGGGAUAGUUGGGGGCAUUAGUAUUCAAUUGUCAGAGGUGAAAUUCUUGGAUUUAUUGAAGACUAACUACUGCGAAAGCAUUUGCCAAGGAUGUUUUCAUUAAUCAAGAACGAAAGUUAGGGGAUCGAAGACGAUCAGAUACCGUCGUAGUCUUAACCAUAAACUAUGCCGACUAGGGGAUCGGAUGAUGUUAAUUUUUUAAUUGA
Molecule: unclassified non-coding RNA, 502 nt
Filed under: uncultured Glomus
Lineage: Eukaryota; Fungi; Glomeromycota; Glomeromycetes; Glomerales; Glomeraceae
Description: SSU rRNA
Rfam family: Eukaryotic small subunit ribosomal RNA
Source: RNAcentral